RNAcentral lists this ribosomal RNA (530 nucleotides) under Leodamas johnstonei. RNAcentral's name for it is "partial 16S ribosomal RNA". It matches the Rfam family "Bacterial large subunit ribosomal RNA", at positions 1809 to 2611 of the family's 2925-position model. The record is from RNAcentral. Lineage: Eukaryota; Metazoa; Annelida; Polychaeta; Orbiniidae.
AAAAACAUUGCCUCUUGAAAACAUUAGAGGUCCAUCCUGCCCGGUGGCAUACGUGUUAAACGGCCGCGGUAGCCUGACCGUGCUAAGGUAGCAUAAUCAUUUGCCUUUUAAUUGAUGGCUGGUAUGAACGGACAAAUGAGAGCCAAGCUGUCUCUUCCUCAAAAAUAUAAACUAACCUUUAGGUGAAAAGGCCUAAAUAGAUUUAUAGGACAAGAAGACCCUGUCAAGCUUCACUGAUAUAUACUAACAUUCAAUAUUUUAUAUAAUUCCUUAGCAUAAUUCAGUUUAGUUGGGGCGACUGGGGAUCAACACUAACAUCCCCCCUCCUAAUAAAGGAAAUUUAUCCAUUUUUAUCUGAUCCUAAAUCGAUCAAGAGAAAAGCUACUGCAGGGAUAACAGGCUAAUUUUCCUUAAGAGCCCAAAUCGAAAGGAAAGUUUGGCACCUCGAUGUUGGCUUAAGACACCCAUAAAGUGCAGCAGCUUUAAACGGUAGGUUUGUUCACCCUUUAAAGUCUUACGUGAUCUGAGUU